GACGUAGGAGGCGAGCGUUGUCCGGAUUCAUUGGGCGUAAAGAGCGCGCAGGCGGCUUGGUAAGUCGGAUGUGAAAUCCCGAGGCUCAACCUCGGGUCUGCAUCCGAUACUGCCCGGCUAGAGGUAGGUAGGGGAGAUCGGAAUUCCUGGUGUAGCGGUGAAAUGCGCAGAUAUCAGGAGGAACACCGGUGGCGAAGGCGGAUCUCUGGGCCUUACCUGACGCUCAGGCGCGAAAGCUAAGGGAGCGAACUGG
Molecule: ribosomal RNA, 253 nt
Filed under: uncultured bacterium
Lineage: Bacteria
Description: partial 16S ribosomal RNA
Rfam family: Bacterial small subunit ribosomal RNA
Source: RNAcentral